GAACCUUUAGAAACACCAUGGAGGAGGAUUUCUCAUAAAUGGGAUGAUCCCUGGAAACGAGAGGUUAAAGACAAUCUCCUUUUAAAAAUCAAUACAAUUAAACCAGAUGGUGGAAUCAAAUAUUUCAAUAUUUUGCUUCUUGGACAAGCUGCCGCUGGAAAAUCGUCAUUCUUUAAUACAUGCUAUACUGCUUUAAUGGAUGAUAACAGACUGAUGGGAAACAAUCAAGUUUACCAGGGUGCUUCCAUGAGUGUAUCAACAUCGGUUGAAACAAUUCCAAUGAAAACAAAGGACGGAAACAUCCUACCACUACGGCUAUUUGAUUGCAGAGGACUCCAUAUGGUUGACGGAGUACCCACCGAGGACUUAAGAUUGAUUAUCCAAGGUCAUGUGAAAUGUGGAUACAAUAUUAACCCCGUGGCUUCCAUAACCGAAGACAACGAAAAAUAUAGAAGUUGUCCGGAAAAGAAGGACCUCAUGCAUUGUAUUGUGUAUGUAGCAAAUGCAGGUAAUCCUUCUGAAUAGCUGACAGAUGAGGAGACCGAGAAACAAUUAAGACAUGUCAGAGAAACAAUAGCCGUGCAAAAUUUGCCACAACUGGUUCUUUUUACCAAUAUUGACAAGCUCAGGAUUUCAAAUACGAAUGAUUUAAGGGACAUCUUCAGAAGUCAGGCAGUAAAAGAUGCAUGCGCCAAAGCUGCCGAAUUCAUGCAAAUACCAUUAAUGAAUGUUUUACCGAUGUCAAAUUACCAUGAAGAAAAUCUGCCUAUCUUGGAAAAAGAUAUACUAGCGCUCUUCUAUCUACUUACAAUGAUGCAAAGAGCAAAGGAUUACGUGAUCCGCAUUACCAAAGCUGACGCCCCAGAUGAUUUUUUUGAUUAGCUGUAAAAAGAUAACUAUUUGUUCUAUGACACUAGAUUUCUGCAUGGUAGACAUAGCCAUAUAUAAUCUUUUCUAACAGUA
Long non-coding RNA from Ostrea edulis (European flat oyster), 963 nucleotides. RefSeq lists it as uncharacterized. NCBI's taxonomy places the organism in Eukaryota, Metazoa, Mollusca, Bivalvia, Ostreida, Ostreidae. The record is from RefSeq and is a predicted model, not a curated record. The transcript is spliced from 5 exons.